This 510-nucleotide ribosomal RNA is filed under the name uncultured Streptomycetaceae bacterium. Its description in RNAcentral is "bacterial SSU rRNA". It matches the Rfam family "Bacterial small subunit ribosomal RNA", at positions 346 to 865 of the family's 1533-position model. Lineage: Bacteria; Bacillati; Actinomycetota; Actinomycetes; Kitasatosporales; Streptomycetaceae. The record is from RNAcentral.
AGGCAGCAGUGGGGAAUAUUGCACAAUGGGCGGAAGCCUGAUGCAGCGACGCCGCGUGAGGGAUGACGGCCUUCGGGUUGUAAACCUCUUUCAGCAGGGAAGAAGCGCAAGUGACGGUACCUGCAGAAGAAGCACCGGCUAACUACGUGCCAGCAGCCGCGGUAAUACGUAGGGUGCGAGCGUUGUCCGGAAUUAUUGGGCGUAAAGAGCUCGUAGGCGGCUUGUCGCGUCGGAUGUGAAAGCCCGGGGCUUAACCCCGGGUCUGCAUUCGAUACGGGCAGGCUAGAGUGUGGUAGGGGAGAUCGGAAUUCCUGGUGUAGCGGUGAAAUGCGCAGAUAUCAGGAGGAACACCGGUGGCGAAGGCGGAUCUCUGGGCCAUUACUGACGCUGAGGAGCGAAAGCGUGGGGAGCGAACAGGAUUAGAUACCCUGGUAGUCCACCGCCGUAAACGUUGGGAACUAGGUGUUGGCGACAUUCCACGUCGUCGGUGCCGCAGCUAACGCAUUAAGU